GGCCCCAUGGUCAAGUGGUUAAGACAUCGCCCUUUCACGGCGGUAACCCGGGUUCGAGCCCCGGUGGGGUCACCA
Molecule: transfer RNA, 75 nt
Filed under: Eubacteriales bacterium
Lineage: Bacteria; Bacillati; Bacillota; Clostridia; Eubacteriales
Also listed under: 1 other name
Description: tRNA-Glu
Rfam family: tRNA
About the family: Transfer RNA (tRNA) molecules are approximately 80 nucleotides in length.
Source: RNAcentral